Molecule: Y RNA, 93 nt
Filed under: Microcebus murinus (gray mouse lemur)
Lineage: Eukaryota; Metazoa; Chordata; Mammalia; Primates; Cheirogaleidae
Description: Y RNA (ENSMICG00000043067.1)
Rfam family: Y RNA
About the family: Y RNAs are components of the Ro ribonucleoprotein particle (Ro RNP), in association with Ro60 and La proteins.
Source: RNAcentral
GGCUGGUCUGAUGUUGGUGGGUUAUCAGAACUUAUUAGCAUUAGUGUCACUAAAGUUGGUAUAUGACCCCCUACUACUAAAUUUGGCUGAUAA